RNAcentral lists this ribosomal RNA (468 nucleotides) under uncultured bacterium. RNAcentral's name for it is "partial 16S ribosomal RNA". It matches the Rfam family "Bacterial small subunit ribosomal RNA", at positions 28 to 507 of the family's 1533-position model. The record is from RNAcentral.
GACGAACGCUGGCGGCGUGCUUAACACAUGCGAGUCGAACGGAAAGGCCCUGCUUUUGUGGGGUGCUCGAGUGGCGAACGGGUGAGUAACACGUGAGUAACCUGCCCUUGAUUUGGGGAUAACUUCAGGAAACUGGGGCUAAUACCGGAUAGGUGCUCCUGCUGCAUGGUGGGGGUUGGAAAGUUUCGGCGGUUGGGGAUGGACUCGCGGCUUAUCAGCUUGUUGGUGGGGUAGUGGCUUACCAAGGCUUUGACGGGUAGCCGGCCUGAGAGGGUGACCGGCCACAUUGGGACUGAGAUACGGCCCAGACUCCUACGGGAGGCAGCAGUGGGGAAUAUUGCACAAUGGGCGGAAGCCUGAUGCAGCAACGCCGCGUGCGGGAUGACGGCCUUCGGGUUGUAAACCGCUUUCGCCUGUGACGAAGCGUGAGUGACGGUAGUGGGUAAAGAAGCACCGGCUAACUACGUG